AAAGCCGUUCUCAGUUCGGAUUGUAGGCUGCAACUCGCCUACAUGAAGUCGGAAUCGCUAGUAAUCGCGGAUCAGCAUGCCGCGGUGAAUUACCGGUUCCCGGGCCUUGUACACACCCGCCCGCCACACCAUGAGAGUUUGUAACACCCAAAGCCGGUGGGGUAACCUUUUGGAGCCAGCCGUCUAAGGUGGGACAGAUGAUUGGGGUGAAGUCGUAACAAGGUACC
Molecule: ribosomal RNA, 227 nt
Filed under: uncultured bacterium
Lineage: Bacteria
Description: partial 16S ribosomal RNA
Rfam family: Bacterial small subunit ribosomal RNA
Source: RNAcentral